Non-coding RNA from Pelodiscus sinensis (Chinese soft-shelled turtle), 1969 nucleotides. The record is from RefSeq and is a predicted model, not a curated record. NCBI's taxonomy places the organism in Eukaryota, Metazoa, Chordata, Testudines, Trionychidae.
CCGCCCGCGCCCCGGGCCCAGUGGCUGAGGAGCCACCGGCCAGGUGUCAACGCAAAGCCAGGGGGAAACAUCUCUCCCAAGCAAGGGCAUCUUCCUUCAAACGAGUCGAAUUCCACUGCCCUGCUAUUUUAGAAAUAUAUGGCUGAAAAGAGCGGCGAGAUCCUACAUGUCAUCUAGUCCAGCCCCUUGCAUUGUUUUAACAGGGUGAAAUACACAAGCAAGAUCAGAAUAAAAGCAGAGGGUAUGUCUGUAUUGCAGAUGCCACAGAACAAGUGCCAGCUGGGUAGUAGCCUCCAGCACGCAAUGGCCCCAUUGUGCUUAGUGAUGUCAUACAUGUUGCCAGCUAUUAAUAAAACACUAUAUAUUGGCAAACUUCCGAGUCAUACAGGCUUAAACAUGCUCCUGCAGUAGUUAAUAGUACCCAAGUAUAUAGAAAGGGGAAGAAAAUUUAAAAUUGUACGAUUUAAAGAAUAAGUUCCGGACUCUUGUGCAAAAAUGAGUGUCUAAACAGAAGAGGCAGGGAUCACUACUGCUAAAAUUUUAUGAUAAAUAACCUUACAAUGAUAAACCAAGGACCAGGCUUCAUAUCCUGUCAUUGAAAGAAGGGGGAGCAGCAUAUUCUCACAUUGUGAUCUCUAAUUAUACUUGUACCUGAAGAGGAGCUCUGUAAAAUCCAAAAGCUUGCCUUUGUCACCAACAGAAAUUGAUCAAAGAAAAGGUAUUCCCACACCCACUUUAUUUCUCUUCUAUGCUGGGACCGUUAUGGCUACCAACAACACCUCAAAAAUUCUGAACAGGAUGUUUUGUACUGCAUUAUCUCUUCUCAUAUGAAAUUUCAGUCUUUGGAUCCCUAUGCCAAAAAGACUCUGCCAAUAGCCUGAACCUAUAGGAUGCUAACAAUCAAAAAUUUCCAUGAAACAGAAUGGUAGGAAAUAGGAUUCCUGAGAGAGCUGGCCUAGUUCAUAAUAUGGACAACUGAGAUUGGUUAAAUAAUAAAUAUGAACUUAAUGCUGGUUGGAGAGCACUGGAAUUAUAUGCUCCUUUUGCGCUGCCAUGCUCAAGAAGUGAGAUACCACAGGGAAGUGACUGUAAGAUGCUGGAGUACAGGCAGCCUACCUAAGUGGGUGAAGUAAGACCUUUCCUGAUGACUGUGGUGACAGGUUAAUGAGAAGCAAAGAUUCAGGGAUCAAACACUGAUCCAAGGGUGAAGCUGGAAUCAGGGUUGGGGGUGAAGCUGAAUAUCAGAACCAGAAUCAGAAGCUAAAGUCUAAGACUAUAGGUAAGCCAGAAUCAUAUUCAGAAGUACAGCCAUGGGGUCAGAGCUGAGAGUUAGAAGUCAAAGUCUGAGCUGAAGAGAAAGCUGGAAUCAGUCUGGGACACAGUUGAGAGCUGGAGCCAGGAGUCAGAAACCUAGACAGGAAAAUUGGGGCUGAAGAAGGGCUUGGACCAAGGACUGGAAAAGAAAGCAGAAGUGAGAGACGUGUAAGCACAGCUGCAGGCAUAGUAUGUUUUGAGCAACCAGCACAACCAUCUGAAGGGAGCUCAUUGGGCCCAGCUCAAGUUGUCAGGUUGCCUACCGCCCAAGCUGAGAGCCACAUGGCCCUCCUGUCAGUGAUGGACUAGUUGCAAUUCCCACAUGGACUUCCUCAUCAGCUCCAGGUACAGAGAGUUGAAACAGUCCCAACCUGAAGGAGGCAAAUUCACAGAUCACUGCAGCUGUCUUCAAGAGGACAGCACCAAAACUCUUUACUAGCAGAAAAUGGCUGAUUUUUUUAUUACAAUUGCCAUUUUGGAUGUUCAGGAGCAACAAUGAAUCCAAGAGAACCAAAAAGUUGCACACCACUUUGACAAUUAGUGGUACGAAUUCUCAGUUGAAGGUAUGAUUGAAGUUGUUGCCAGUUCUUCAAAGUGCUCAUUUCUAUCAUAAUCACCUCAGUCCUUUCUCAGAACCAUGUUGCUACCCAUAAGA